AUCCCCAUCUCCUCUUCCCCUUCUACUCCACACCGCACAGACAAAUACUCUACGAGAGAGAGAGAGAGAGAGAAUUUUAAUUUUAGGAGAAAACUGUGGCCGCGUGCGUCGCGUCUCCUCCUAUCUUCUCCCCGAAGCUUCCGUAUCGCGGGCGCCUCCUUCCUUUCCCCCUCUAUCUAUCUACUCCCUUGGAAAUUUAUUCGGUCGCGUGGGGUUUGGAUCGGUGGAUCGAUCGAUCGAUCGAGCGAGCGAACGACGACUUGUGAGCAGGUUAAGGACAGGCAUACUGGACUGACUGUUUUAUGGCUAGACACCAUGGAAACCAUUCCCUACUGCCAGAGAUGGUUCAACCCAAUAAUGAGCAACUCAACCAACCUCUGCCUUUAGGUCAGAAGUUAUUUGUGCAUGCUGGAAAUGAUGCAGCCCUUAAAAUUGGCCCUUCAUACCAUGGGAAUGUGGCAAUUAGAUCGAAUGAUCUUCCAUCUUCAAGUCGAGUGGCACAAUAUUCAGGUCAUAGAGUUAAAAACACAGGAACCUUACAUAACUCCUAUGUUCACUAUCCUGCUGGAAGCUCUGGUGGCCAUGUAUCCUACAAUCCUCAAACUGAACCUGUUAUAACUUAUCCACAUAGAUCUGAGGGAGAAUUUGCUCGAGGGAGUUCCCAAAUCGACAACAGAACUGCUGCAGUGAAACGAAAAAAUCCUGUCAUUUAUCCAGAGUAUAGCAUCAAUGGUGAUGGUUAUUGUGCCGGUAGCUCAUCAAGUACCCAGUUCUCUAAUUAUCCACAGCCAGCUCCAUUUUCUGAGUCCUUGCAUCGUCAAAUGCCUCCAAGUGUUGGCCCAAUUAAUUGGAAUGACCAGAGCUUGGUAAAUCAAGAAGGAAGUCAGAGAAAUGUGAGGGCACGUCAUAAUUUUAAUAAUAUUUCAUUGGAACCUAGACCAGUCCAUUCUACUUCGAAUGUUUCCCAAAGUACAUCAAUGAAAAGGAAUGGACCAUCCUUUUCUACGCGAAUGAGAACUAUGCCUUCAGGUGCCUCUGGAAUGCACUCUGGAGAAAUGCCUUACACUAUGGGAAGCAGCAACUCAUCUGUUCCUGUCCCAACUUUACAAGGCUCUUCAAGCAGUGCAAUAUUUGCCAGUGGUGUCUUUGCACCUAGGCAUGUUCAUGGUGACACUGUUCCUAGCUACAUUCAUCUGCCUUCUGUAGCAUCCUCUAGCUCUACAGCGAUUCCCCAUGAGGUGAUCAUUCCGAGCUACCAACCUGCUACCUCUGCAACUACCUCAACACCCAUGAGGGCCAGUCAGCCAUUACCUGUCAGAGCUGUUGCAUCUUCUAGACAUGCAAGGAAUGUACUCAUAGGGCAUGCUAACAGCGGAAGGAACAGAAGGGCGAGAAGCUCAUACUAUGGUAUUCAGCCUUUGAUGAUUGAUGCACAGCAAUUGAUAAUGAUGCAACAAUUUGCUCUCCGCGAAUCAAGAGAAGCACAAGACCCCCACAGGGCCAUGAGACUGGACAUUGACAAUAUGAGUUAUGAGGACCUGCUGGCUUUGGGAGAAUCUAUUGGUAAUGUCUGCACAGGCUUGGUGGACGAGAAAAUCUCAGGUUGUGUGAGAGAAGUGAUCUAUUGCAGUUCUGAUGAACAGCAAAAUGAUCAAGAUGAUGGGAAAUGUGCAAUUUGUCUGGAGGAAUACAAAGACAACAGUUUGCUGGGAAUACUGAAAUGCAAUCACGACUUCCACACCGACUGCGUCAAGAAGUGGUUGAAGGAGAAGAACUCAUGCCCAAUUUGCAAGUCGGCUGCUGCAUAGGACACGCGAGGACAAACAACAAUAUGGUCCUCAAAUUUGUUAGUAUUUAGACCCAAUUAAGUUGUUUCAUUCUUUGUGCGCCUCAGCCAUGUAAAUAAAUGUCUGAAGAAGCAGUCGUGGAGCUUGAAUGCGUAAGCGGGAGGUUCAGAAAGGGCCGCUACCAAGUCAUAGAUGGUUAAGAGGUGGCUGUCUCGUGAAAAAGUUUAGGUUUUAUUGGGUCUUGGGCUCUUGGCCUAUGUUAGCCCAAAUAAAGCCCAUGCUUUGGGGCCCUUGCUCGGUUGAGCUCGUUGCCUCCUUUGGAGUAAAAGAAGGAAUUGUGCGAAAUCGAUCCUACAAAAUUCCUGUUCCAACAGUUUAACCGCUGCCAUUGACAGGGAACGGUUUGGGAUGUUAACAAAAUCUCUAGAGGUUGUGCCGCUCACCCUAAUUGCUGAUUAAAAUCAAUAGCAAGUCUCAUUCCAUCUAGAAAGUUAAAAGGCCUUGGACUUUGGAUGAAUGGUUAGACAUCAGAGGUAGAUCUCCUGAAGUUUUACCUCUUCUGGAUCAGAAGGUUUGAUGUCAGAAAUCCUUGAAACACAUCAUACCUAAUGAUGGUGAUGUUGCUUUAGGAAUGCAUAAUCGGUUUCGAUUUUACUUCGGCUUCAAGAUUUGCAGAUCCUUGAGCUACAGGGAGUGUUUGGUUACUGUUAUAUGCGAAAGAUAUAUAAUUUUACCGACCACAUCGAUGUGCCUACAUGGGUAAUGCUGAUAUACAUGGGACACACGGCUGGUUUGACAGAUA
Oryza sativa Japonica Group (Japanese rice) is the source of this 2589-nucleotide RNA transcript. It is a transcript of the gene named E3 ubiquitin-protein ligase MBR1, with no coding region annotated. The record is from RefSeq and is a predicted model, not a curated record. NCBI's taxonomy places the organism in Eukaryota, Viridiplantae, Streptophyta, Magnoliopsida, Poales, Poaceae.